RNAcentral lists this ribosomal RNA (252 nucleotides) under uncultured bacterium. Its description in RNAcentral is "partial 16S ribosomal RNA". It matches the Rfam family "Bacterial small subunit ribosomal RNA", at positions 524 to 776 of the family's 1533-position model. The record is from RNAcentral.
UACGGAGGAUGCGAGCGUUAUCCGGAUUUAUUGGGUUUAGAGGGUGCGUAGGCGGAGUGCCAAGUCAGCGGUAAAAAUUCGGGGCUCAACCCCGUCGUGCCGUUGAAACUUGCGCCCUUGAGUGGGCGAGAAGUAUGCGGAAUGCGUGGUGUAGCGGUGAAAUGCAUAGAUAUCACGCAGAACCCCGAUUGCGAAGGCAGCAUACCGGCGCCCGACUGACGCUGAAGCACGAAAGCGUGGGUAUCGAACAGG